RNAcentral lists this unclassified non-coding RNA (400 nucleotides) under uncultured fungus. Its description in RNAcentral is "sequence contains ITS1". The stretch from base 1 to 104 matches the Rfam family "5.8S ribosomal RNA", at positions 50 to 154 of the family's 154-position model. Lineage: Eukaryota; Fungi. The record is from RNAcentral.
CAACUGCGUGAAUUAAUGUGAAUUGCAGACACAUUGAACAUUGACACUUUGAACGCACAUUGCGGAAGCGGGGUUUUCCCGCUUCCACAUCUGUCUGAGGGUGAUAUGGAAAAUAACAUCGCUCACUCUGUGACUGGUAUGGAACCAAUACUGGUCAUGGGGCACGGUGAGCGGGUUUGACUCGCUGCCAGAGUUCUCUUUGGUACCGAGUUUAAGUACGGGUAGGCGGGUGAAUCUCUCUUUCUUUAGAAAGAGCCCGCCGUCACUCUUUACAGGAUGCGCUGGUCUUGCCCACCGGGGACCAGGCUUGCCGGUGAAUCUUUCGGCAGCCUUUUCUCUGGUCGAAUCCGGGCUUGAACGGCCGUCUCUCAUUUCUUCACCUCAGCUCAGGUGUGAUUAC